This 20-nucleotide microRNA is filed under the name Ictalurus punctatus (channel catfish). RNAcentral's name for it is "ipu-miR-27c". Its record names the gene ipu-miR-27c. Lineage: Eukaryota; Metazoa; Chordata; Actinopteri; Siluriformes; Ictaluridae. RNAcentral also lists the same sequence under 4 other names. The record is from miRBase by way of RNAcentral.
UUCACAGUGGUUAAGUUCUG